This 397-nucleotide ribosomal RNA is filed under the name uncultured Planctomycetota bacterium. RNAcentral's name for it is "bacterial SSU rRNA". It matches the Rfam family "Bacterial small subunit ribosomal RNA", at positions 379 to 766 of the family's 1533-position model. The record is from RNAcentral. Lineage: Bacteria; Pseudomonadati; Planctomycetota.
AAGGGUGACGAAGCGACGCCGCGUGUGGGAAGAAGGCCUUCGGGUUGUAAACCACUGUCGGGAGUUAGGAAAUGCAGGUGCGUUAAUAGCGCACUUGCUUGACUAAGGCUCCAGAGGAAGCCACGGCUAACUCUGUGCCAGCAGCCGCGGUAACACAGAGGCGGCAAGCGUUGUUCGGAAUUAUUGGGCGUAAAGAGCACGUAGGCGGCCUUGCAAGUCAGUUGUGAAAGCCUUCCGCUUAACGGAAGAACGGCAUCUGAUACUACAGGGCUUGAGUACGGGAGGGGAGAGUGGAACUUCUGGUGGAGCGGUGAAAUGCGUAGAUAUCAGAAGGAACGCCGGCGGCGAAAGCGACUCUCUGGUCCGAAACUGACGCUGAGUGUGCGAAAGCUAGGGG